CCCGCUGAACUUAAGCAUAUCAGUAAGCGGAGGAAAAGAAACUAACAAGGAUUCCCCUAGUAACGGCGAGCGAAGCGGGAAGAGUUCAAAUUUAAAAUCUGGGUGGGUCUCCCACUCCGAAUUGUAAUUUAAAGAGGCGCUAUCUGGGCCUGGCCUGGUGCUCAAGUCCCUUGGAAUAGGGCGUCACAGAGGGUGAGAACCCCGUCUGGGCACUGGUGCUGGGUCCUCCAUGAGGCGCUUUCUACGAGUCGAGUUGUUUGGGAAUGCAGCUCAAAAUGGGUGGUAAAUUUCAUCUAAAGCUAAAUAUUGGCCAGAGACCGAUAGCGCACAAGUAGAGUGAUCGAAAGAUGAAAAGCACUUUGGAAAGAGAGUUAAACAGUACGUGAAAUUGUUGAAAGGGAAGCGCUUGCAACCAGACUUGCACGCUGUCGAUCAUCCGAGAUUCUUCCCGGUGCACUCGACUGCGUUCAGGCCAGCAUCGGUUUUGGUGGUUGGAUAAAGGCCUUGGGAAUGUGGCUCCUCUCGGGGAGUGUUAUAGCCCUCGGUGCAAUGCAGCCUACUGGGACCGAGGACCGCGCUUCGGCUAGGAUGCUGGCGUAAUGGUUGUAAGCGACCCGUCUUGAAACACGG
RNAcentral lists this ribosomal RNA (630 nucleotides) under uncultured fungus. Its description in RNAcentral is "eukaryotic LSU rRNA". It matches the Rfam family "Eukaryotic large subunit ribosomal RNA", at positions 24 to 664 of the family's 3401-position model. Lineage: Eukaryota; Fungi. The record is from RNAcentral.